UUGGCUGGUGGUCAAGUGCAUCUUCCAGCCUGAGACCGCGUGGACUCGCUCAUCGUGAGGGCGAGAGGAGGAUAAGCCCAUUGGGCUGUCGGCUGAGAGUGAGGUGCGGGAUUGCUGAUGAAAUCCUUGGCAUCGUCGGAGAUCUCAUCGAAUGCCUCGUCGUCGAAGUCCCAGGUGGCUGAGGUAACGUUGGCCAAGGUUUCGUUAUCGUUGUCUCCCAUGAAGGGGGAAAGGCCACUGACUCUGGAGAGACAAGAGCAGGACAGCAGGUGUGGCUAGGAGAGGGCGCGACCACCAGAUGAGGGAAUUGAGGCACAGCCCAGGCUCAAGUAACCUGCCCAAAGAUUCGCAGCCAGUGAGAUUGGAAGCCAGGUAUCUGCCUCUAGAGCCUGUCCUCUUAAAUGCUAUACUAUCCUAACAUUUCUGUGAAGAUGAAGUAAAUUGCAGUGUUCAGCACUGGCACCAGGCCUGGUCCACAGUAAGGAGGCAGUCCAUGCCUGGAGAUCUCAUGCAGUUCUGCUGGGUUCCCUCCACUGCCUUACCAAGCUCUGAGUGCAGGAAUGACUUUGUGACCAGCAGCUUAAGCCAAAUAAACUUUAUAAGGUAAAGAAUUUCAAAACAAAAUAGAGCAGAUUUGUGGCUUAUUGACCUUACCUCUCACCUCUGUGCACCUCACCUUCACAGCAACAACUCACCCCACUGUUCAUGAGGGCCUUGUGAGUCAGCCUCAUGGGUGUUUGACCAGCACAGUUGCCCACAGUCCCACCCUUAGACAGGCCCUGUGCUUGGUUUAAUGCUCUGCUGCUGUCAUCUCAAGAUUCUCAAUAAGGUUUGAACAAG
This 840-nucleotide long non-coding RNA is filed under the name Pan troglodytes (chimpanzee). RNAcentral's name for it is "long non-coding RNA NONPTRT011549". The record is from RNAcentral. Lineage: Eukaryota; Metazoa; Chordata; Mammalia; Primates; Hominidae.